Long non-coding RNA from Neofelis nebulosa (Clouded leopard), 1223 nucleotides. RefSeq lists it as uncharacterized. The record is from RefSeq and is a predicted model, not a curated record. The transcript has 3 exons. NCBI's taxonomy places the organism in Eukaryota, Metazoa, Chordata, Mammalia, Carnivora, Felidae.
UGCUCCCAGUUUACAAACUGCCUUUUUUGGUGUGUGCACACUCAACUUCUACUAACGACUACUUUGGUGAGUCAUCGGUAUUGCUGCUGUUAUUUCUGAACUUUUGACAUUUCAUGGUGUGAGAAGUUGAAUUCAGAGAAGACGCCUGAUGACUCGGAGGCCGGUGAGCAAACAGGUGCCGGUGCCCACAGAGCCUGCCGAGCCCCCGGCUUUUUUGCGACCCCAGAAUUUGAGGGUCAGUCUCUCUUGGAUCCAAGCUCCACUUUCUUUGUGUUUGGAGCUCUCGGACUAUAUUGUGAUUUUAUUUGUGGAAGUGUCUUGAUCUUUCACCACGGCCAUUUUUAAGUCUUUUGCCAUAUACAGACAGCUUUUCUCUGAGGCUUUUGCAAAGUGUUCCUGCAAAAAUGCUUCAUGUUCAAAAAGAUCCAUGGAAAAGCCCCUGAUGAGUAUUCUAAAAGGUUUUGUCUUCUAGCUAUAAGCUGGACAGGAUUAUGAAUUCUUCCAGUUUCCUCUAAUAUUUGGCUAGAACUCUCCAAACAAACAUUUCCAAUCUUCUCCCAUUCUUUGGACUUGGAAUCACGAUGAAACUAACAUCGCCCUUUUCCAAAGCCAUGCAAGCUGAAGCUGGACAAUUUGAUGUAAACUUCAGGGAAACCACUGCAACAGCUCACGUGUGGACAAUUUUCAUGCCUGUGGCUGUGUGGCCACUCAGAAAGAUCACCAGAGACAUUCACACUGCAAACCAGAAAAAUUUGUCGGAUUGCCGCUGCCUGCCCUCGCUCCACCGGAAGAUGCUUAGAACCCGACAUCUAGACAUCUUCUCAACUGGCCGUGAUCCAAACUCAGAAGCUGAAUUUAUAGUUUUCCCAAACUAUUAAUCUUUGUUUUUCUUAUGUUUCUGUAGAAAUGCCUCUCAUUAAGUCACCUGAUUGCUCACAUCAUGUAGAGGUCUAACUUAAUUGGAAGGUCACCAACAAUAGCACCUCCUGAAAGGAAACACCCUCAUGUUCAUGCUGUCCUGAGUAGCCAUGAGGAUGUGUGUUUACUAGCGUAUCGUUUUGUGCUUAUGUAAAUAACUUAAAAAAAAUUAUAACCUGUUUGCGUUAUAUAACUGGUUAAACCUUGGCUCUUUUGGGGAAUCUCUACUCUGGGGAAUUUCUCAAUCCUUGGCUGUUAUUCUUACAGUCAUCAUCUUAACCUCUCUGGCGCGUGAUAUACUCGUG